GGGUGUAGGUCAGUGGUAGGUUGCUUGCCUGGUAUGCAUAAAGCCCUGGGUUUGAUCCCCAGCACUGCA
This 69-nucleotide transfer RNA is filed under the name Marmota monax (woodchuck). RNAcentral describes it as "tRNA.Thr". It matches the Rfam family "tRNA", at positions 5 to 66 of the family's 71-position model. From Rfam's summary of the family: Transfer RNA (tRNA) molecules are approximately 80 nucleotides in length. Their secondary structure includes four short double-helical elements and three loops (D, anti-codon, and T loops). Further hydrogen bonds mediate the characteristic L-shaped molecular structure. tRNAs have two regions of fundamental functional importance: the anti-codon, which is responsible for specific mRNA codon recognition, and the 3' end, to which the tRNAs corresponding amino acid is attached (by aminoacyl-tRNA synthetases). tRNAs cope with the degeneracy of the genetic code in two manners: having more than one tRNA (with a specific anti-codon) for a particular amino acid; and 'wobble' base-pairing, i.e. permitting non-standard base-pairing at the 3rd anti-codon position. The record is from RNAcentral. Lineage: Eukaryota; Metazoa; Chordata; Mammalia; Rodentia; Sciuridae.